AAUUAACGCUGGCGGCAUGCCUAACACAUGCAAGUCGCACGAGAAAGCCUCCUUCGGGGGGCGAGUAAAGUGGCGCACGGGUGAGUAACGCGUGGGUAAUCUACCUCGGUCCGGGGGAUAACGCACCGAAAGGUGCGCUAAUACCGCAUAACCCGGCGAAUCCUUGGAUUUGCCGGCAAAGGUGGCCUCUACAUGUAAGCUACCGGAUAGAGAUGAGCCCGCGUCCCAUUAGCUAGUUGGUAGGGUAAAGGCCUACCAAGGCGACGAUGGGUAGCUGGUCUGAGAGGACGAUCAGCCACACUGGAACUGGAACACGGUCCAGACUCCUACGGGUGGCUG
This 339-nucleotide ribosomal RNA is filed under the name uncultured Pseudomonadota bacterium. RNAcentral's name for it is "bacterial SSU rRNA". It matches the Rfam family "Bacterial small subunit ribosomal RNA", at positions 29 to 351 of the family's 1533-position model. The record is from RNAcentral. Lineage: Bacteria; Pseudomonadati; Pseudomonadota.